Molecule: ribosomal RNA, 648 nt
Filed under: uncultured Geobacter sp.
Lineage: Bacteria; Pseudomonadati; Thermodesulfobacteriota; Desulfuromonadia; Geobacterales; Geobacteraceae
Description: bacterial SSU rRNA
Rfam family: Bacterial small subunit ribosomal RNA
Source: RNAcentral
CNAACGUGAAGGGGGCUUCGGUCCCUGGAAAGUGGCGCACGGGUGAGUAACGCGUGGAUAAUCUGCCCAGUGAUUUGGGAUAACAUCUCGAAAGGGGUGCUAAUACCGAAUAAGCCCACGGAGUCUAAGGAUUCUGCGGGAAAAGGGGGGGACCUUAGGGCCUUCUGUCACUGGAUGAGUCCGCGUACCAUUAGCUAGUUGGUGGGGUAAUGGCCCACCAAGGCUACGAUGGUUAGCUGGUCUGANAGGAUGAUCANCCACACUGGAACUGAGACACGGUCCAGACUCCUACGGGAGGCAGCAGUGGGGAAUUUUGCGCAAUGGGCGAAAGCCUGACGCAGCAACGCCGCGUGAGUGAUGAAGGCCUUCGGGUCGUAAAGCUCUGUCGGGAGGGAAGAAGUGGUUGGAGGCUAAUACCCUCUAAUCUUGACGGUACCUCCGAAGGAAGCACCGGCUAACUCCGUGCCAGCAGCCGCGGUAAUACGGAGGGUGCAAGCGUUGUUCGGAAUUAUUGGGCGUAAAGCGCGUGUAGGCGGUCUUUUAAGUCUGAUGUGAAAGCCCCGGGCUCAACCCGGGAAGUGCAUUGGAAACUGGGAGACUUGAGUACGGGAGAGGGUAGUGGAAUUCCUAGUGUAGGAGUGAAAUCCG